CUGAAGAAACAAGGGGUUUUUGAGACUGCGUCCUUCAUUGGCGUGUGCUCGACCCCUUACUCUUUCAUCCCACAUACACCUUUGUGCACCAAGGGACCUUGUGUCCCCUUUUUUUCAUAAAUGCCAAGUUAUAUGCAUGUAUACAAUUAACUCUACGGAGUUUAUUAUAUAAAUA
RNAcentral lists this unclassified non-coding RNA (175 nucleotides) under uncultured Geastrum. RNAcentral's name for it is "sequence contains ITS1". The record is from RNAcentral. Lineage: Eukaryota; Fungi; Basidiomycota; Agaricomycetes; Geastrales; Geastraceae.